AUUAUUGGGCGUAAAGAGCUCGUAGGUGGUUGGUCACGUCUGCUGUGGAAACGCAACGCUUAACGUUGCGCGUGCAGUGGGUACGGGCUGACUAGAGUGCAGUAGGGGAGUCUGGAAUUCCUGGUGUAGCGGUGAAAUGCGCAGAUAUCAGGAGGAACACCGGUGGCGAAGGCGGGACUCUGGGCUGUAACUGACACUGAGGAGCGAAAGCAUGGGGAGCGAACAGGAUUAGAUACCCUGGUAGUCCAUGCCGUAAACGUUGGGCACUAGGUGUGGGGGACAUUCCACGUUCUCCGCGCCGUAGCUAACGCAUUAAGUGCCCCGCCUGGGGAGUACGGUCGCAAGGCUAAAACUCAAAGGAAUUGACGGGGGCCCGCACAAGCGGCGGAGCAUGCGGAUUAAUUCGAUGCAACGCGAAGAACCUUACCAAGGCUUGACAUACACUGGACCGUUCUGGAAACAGUUCUUCUCUUUGGAGCUGGUGUACAGGUGGUGCAUGGUUGUCGUCAGCUCGUGUCGUGAGAUGUUGGGUUAAGUCCCGCAACGAGCGCAACCCUCGUUCUAUGUUGCCAGCACGUGAUGGUGGGAACUCAUAGGAGACUGCCGGGGUCAACUCGGAGGAAGGUGGGGAUGACGUCAAAUCAUCAUGCCCUUUAUGUCUUGGGCUUCACGCAUGCUACAAUGGCUGGUACAGAGAGAGGCGAACCCGUGAGGGUGAGCGAAUCCCUUAAAGCCAGUCUCAGUUCGGAUCGUAGUCUGCAAUUCGACUACGUGAAGUCGGAGUCGCUAGUAAUCGCAGAUCAGCAACGCUGCGGUGAAUACGUUCCCGGGCCUUGUACACACCGCCCGUCAAGUCACGAAAGUCGGUAACACCCGAAGCCGGUGUCCCAACCCCUUUUUUGGGGAGGGGGCCGUCUAGGUGGGACUGGUGAUUGGGACUAAGUCGUAACAAGGU
This 955-nucleotide ribosomal RNA is filed under the name Brevibacterium sp. BAC-N6. RNAcentral's name for it is "bacterial SSU rRNA". It matches the Rfam family "Bacterial small subunit ribosomal RNA", at positions 550 to 1497 of the family's 1533-position model. The record is from RNAcentral. Lineage: Bacteria; Bacillati; Actinomycetota; Actinomycetes; Micrococcales; Brevibacteriaceae.